RNAcentral lists this ribosomal RNA (293 nucleotides) under uncultured bacterium. Its description in RNAcentral is "partial 16S ribosomal RNA". It matches the Rfam family "Bacterial small subunit ribosomal RNA", at positions 540 to 830 of the family's 1533-position model. The record is from RNAcentral.
GUUGUCCGGAAUUACUGGGUGUAAAGGGAGCGUAGGCGGGACGGCAAGUCAGAUGUGAAAACUAUGGGCUCAACCCAUAGACUGCAUUUGAAACUGUUGUUCUUGAGUGAGGUAGAGGUAAGCGGAAUUCCUGGUGUAGCGGUGAAAUGCGUAGAGAUCAGGAGGAACAUCGGUGGCGAAGGCGGCUUACUGGGCCUUUACUGACGCUGAGGCUCGAAAGCGUGGGGAACAAACAGGAUUAAGAUACCCUGGUACUCCACCGUCGUAAACGAUGAUUACUACGUGUGGGGGGA